GUGGGGAAUAUUGGACAAUGGGCGCAAGCCUGAUCCAGCAAUGCCGCGUGGGUGAAGAAGGCCUUCGGGUUGUAAAGCCCUUUUGUACGGGAAGAAAUCAUUCGGGUUAAUAUCCUGGGUGGAUGACGGUACCGUAAGAAUAAGCACCGGCUAACUUCGUGCCAGCAGCCGCGGUAAUACGAAGGGUGCAAGCGUUAAUCGGAAUUACUGGGCGUAAAGCGUGCGUAGGUGGUUGUUCAAGUCUGUCGUGAAAGCCCUGGGCUCAACCUGAGAAUGGCGAUGGAAACUGGGCGACUAGAGUGCGGUAGAGUAUGGCGGAAUUCCCGGUGUAGCGGUGAAAUGCGUAGAGAUCGGGAGGAACAUCCGUGGCGAAGGCGGCCAUCUGGACCAGCACUGACACUGAGGCACGAAAGCGUGGGGAGCAAACAGGAUUAGAUACCCGUGUAGUCC
This 450-nucleotide ribosomal RNA is filed under the name uncultured bacterium. RNAcentral describes it as "partial 16S ribosomal RNA". It matches the Rfam family "Bacterial small subunit ribosomal RNA", at positions 354 to 796 of the family's 1533-position model. The record is from RNAcentral.